This is a long non-coding RNA of Oncorhynchus keta (chum salmon), 1769 nucleotides long. RefSeq lists it as uncharacterized. The transcript has 3 exons. The record is from RefSeq and is a predicted model, not a curated record. Lineage: Eukaryota; Metazoa; Chordata; Actinopteri; Salmoniformes; Salmonidae.
GAGAGAUAUAUAUAGAGGUAGAGAGGGAGAGAGAUAUAUAUAGAGGUAGAGAGGGAGAGAGAUAUAUAUAUAGGUAGAGAGAGAGAGAGAUAGAUAUAUAGGUAGAGAGGGAGAGAGAGAGAGAGGUAGAGAGGGAGAGGGAGAGAUAGAUAUAGAGGUAGAGAGGGAGAGAGAUAUAUAUAGAGGGAGAGAGGGAGAGAGAGAUAUAUAUAGAGGUAGAGAGGGAGAGAGAGAGAUAGAUAUAGAGGUAGAGAGGGAGAGAGAGAGAGAGGUAGAGAGGGAGAGAGAGAGAUAGAUAUAGAGGUAGAGAGGGAGAGAGAGAGAUAGAUAUAUAGGUAGAGAGGGAGAGAGAGAGAGAGGUAGAGAGGGAGAGGGAGAGAUAGAUAUAGAGGUAGAGAGGGAGAGAGAUAUAUAUAGAGGGAGAGAGGGAGAGAGAGAUAUAUAUAGAGGUAGAGAGGGAGAGAGAGAGAUAGAUAUAGAGGUAGAGAGGGAGAGAGAGAGAGAGGUAGAUAGGGAAAGAGAGAGAGAUAUAUAUAGAGGUAGAGAGGUAGAGAUAUAUAUAUAGAGGUAGAGAGGGAGAGAGAGAGAUAGAUAGAUAUAGAGGUAGAGAGAGAGAGAGAGAGAGAGGUAGAGAGGGAAAGAGAGAGAUAUAUAGAGGUAGUUAAAACACUGUAUAUAUAUAACAUGACAUUUGUAAUGUCUUUAUUGUUUUGAAACUUCUGUAUGUGUAAUGUUUACUGUUAAUUGUUAUUGUUUAUUUCACUUUAUAUCUACCUCAGUUGCUUUGGCAAUGUUAACACAUGUUUCCCAUGCCAAUAAAGCCCUUGAAUUGAAUUGAAUUGAAUUGAAUUGAUAUAGAGGUAGAUAGGGAGAGAGAGAGAUAGAUAUAGAGGUAGAUUGGGAGAGAGAGAUAGAUAUAGAGGUAGAUAUGGAGAGAGAAAGAGAGAUAGAUAUAGAGGUAGAUAGGGAGAGAUAGAUAUAGAGGUAGAGAGAGAGAUAUAGAGGUAGAUAGGGAGAGAGAGAUAGAUAUAGAGGUAGAUAGGGAGAGAGAGAUAGAUAUAGAGGUAGAUAGGGAGAGAGAGAUAGAUAUAGAGGUAGAUAUGGAGAGAGAGAUCGAUAUAGAGGUAGAUAGGGAGAGAUAGAUAGAUAUAGAGGUAGAGAGGGAGAGAGAGAUGCUUCAAAGAGGUGAGGUUUUACCUGAUCCAUGUUCUGGUGUCUGUCUAAUCAGAGGGAAGGUGUUAUAGAUGGUACCAGGUAUCCAGGUGUCUGUCUAAUCAGAGGUAAGGUGUUAUAGAUGGUACCAGGUAUCCAGGUGUCUGUCUAAUCAGAGGGAAGGUGUUAUAGAUGGUACCAGGUAUCCAGGUGUCUGUCUAAUCAGAGGUAAGGUGUUAUAGAUGGUACCAGGUAUCCAGGUGUCUGUCUAAUCAGAGGUAAGGUGUUAUAGAUGGUACCAGGUAUCCAGGUGUCUGCCUCAAAGACCCAGUACAGCAUCAAGUGGUGAGGGGACUGCAGGAUACGUUUUGGCAAGUAUUGGGUUAUUCUGUGUUUGUAGCAUGCAUUCAACUAUUGUUUCUCCUCCUCUCGCCUCUAUGUGUGUGUGUGUGUGUGUGUGUGUGUGUGUGUGUGUGUGUGUGUGUGUGUGUGUGUGUGUGUGUGUGUGUGUGUGUGUGUGUGUGUGUGUGUGUGUGUGUGUGUGUGUGUGUGUGUGUGUGUGUGUGUGUGUGUGUGUGUGUGUGUGUGUGUGUGUGUGUGUGUGUGUGUGUGUGUGU